Molecule: long non-coding RNA, 448 nt
Organism: Penaeus monodon (black tiger shrimp)
Lineage: Eukaryota; Metazoa; Arthropoda; Malacostraca; Decapoda; Penaeidae
Exons: 2
Source: RefSeq, a predicted model, not a curated record
CCCGAGCCUGCCGCGGGAAGCCCUGGACGCCCGCAUCUGCCCCGCCCUCCGCCGCGUCUCCGAGAUGUUCGUGGGCUCAGUGCCUUUCAUGACGGCCCCGGGAGAGGAGUCCUCCCCCCCGCCGCGCCCCGCGACGGACGCAGAGGGAGGGAAGGGCGUCCGUGUGGACGCCGCACGCCGCCCUCCGCUCCUGCUUCGUCUCCUCUGCGCACGGCUACACGCCCUUCAAGUACAAUCGCUUCGACGGCGGCGGCGCGGACUGGGCCCCCGGAGCCUCUGUCGCAGAAGUCUCGCUGUUCGGAGGGCGGCGCGAGGUCCUAGAUGGCGAGAGGGAAAAGGGGCUUUAUUAAAUCAGCUGAUUGAAGAGAGAAUAUGGGGGAGAGAGAGAGAGAGAGAGAGAGAGAGAGAGAGAGAGAGAGAGAGAGAGAGAGAGAUUGAAGAUUGAAUA